UAGAGGUACCUUCAAUAUGCGGACGCCUAAUUAAACUACUAUUAAAGCAAAAUCAGAAAUUUACAUGUCUUUGGAUUGGCUGAAGCAAUAUGCAGGCGCUUGAGUCAAUGAAUCAUCCCAAAAAACUGCACCAACAUCAAAUGUAAUCACAUGUGUUGAUAUACCUGCCAAUAUGACCAAGUUUUAUUCAAUUACAUUGAAAUAUACAUGAAUAUGCAGGAUCAAGCAACUUUAGUACUGAUGCAACAUUCAUCACUGGACCAUACAUUUUUUGCCUUAUAAUUAUUAUUAUCAUUAUUUUUAUAUAAGCAAAGGAUUAUGUUAAAUGGAAGGAUGGGACCCCACGAAACCAAAACUCCUAUACACCAAGACACAAUUCAAAAGAACUACAGGGUAUUCAAACUCAAGAUCAGAAAACAUUUGCAGCAGAAUGAGGCAGCAGACGAACAGAACAACAUCAGACCCAAAAUAUAAAUAAAUAAGUAAUUAUGAUCUUGCUCACUGUGGCUUAUUGAUCUGGAGAAAAUGAACAUUUAUGCGACAGUCCUCAAUUAUACAAGAAAUUGUAUCAAUUUAAAGAAUAUACUGAAAAUUAACAUAGAAGAGAAUAAACCCGGAAAAGCUAUAUAGUUUAUAGGUGCCAUAAUCUUGAACCCAAGAGAAAAUAACAAAGAUAUGAACAUGCUCGAUGACAGAUUAUUAGAGAGAGGUAACAAGUUAAAACUAACAUACCAUCAGAGAAAUCCCAUUUGACUGGCCGCUUGGUAGAAACAUCCUCAUAGUACCAUAUGAAAUCCACCUUCUCCCACACAUUACACAAGAACCCAUCAGCCACCCUGGUCCCUAGAUAAUUAGCUCCAUCAAGAAAAUCAGGUCUAGGAAUACCCACUCCGAAAUCUAC
This 901-nucleotide unclassified non-coding RNA is filed under the name Hevea brasiliensis (rubber tree). Lineage: Eukaryota; Viridiplantae; Streptophyta; Magnoliopsida; Malpighiales; Euphorbiaceae. The record is from RNAcentral.